RNAcentral lists this long non-coding RNA (1260 nucleotides) under Panax ginseng (ginseng). RNAcentral's name for it is "long non-coding RNA (PGIN_LNC016073)". Lineage: Eukaryota; Viridiplantae; Streptophyta; Magnoliopsida; Apiales; Araliaceae. The record is from RNAcentral.
ACAAUUUCACCCAACUUGAGCUUGUACAAAAUUGUGGUUUUACCAGCGGCAUCGAGACCAACCAUUAGAAUGCGCAUUUCUCUCUUAGCAAAUAGGCGACUGAAAAGCUUGGUAAAAGACAGCCCCAUCUCUAUAUCUGAUAGAUUCAGCAACACCAAGGAAUUAAGGAAAUAGUUCGACCCCCAUUGACAAUAUACAGUAUAAAUAUAUUCAGAAAAUAAAACUAUCUCACACAAAGACCAGAAGUGAAAAGAAACUCAAAACCUUUAGCAUAUCAAUCACAACAAAAUGAGAGAAUCAAUUUUUCAUCCAGCAAAUAAAAUUAAUUAAUAAGAAGAAUAACACCACAAAAGCUCUUUUAUGUAAGAAACUUGGAAGACUAUUUUUUUUUCUUCUAGAAAAUUAUAGGCAAAAGUAGAAUGAGAAUAACCAAAAACACUUUAAAAAUCAAACAGAAAAAUACAAGCAGACACUGUAAAAAAGGUGAUCUAAAAAUUGCUUCAGAAAUAACUACAAAGAAGUGUUGCCAGAAUAUUGCCCAGAUCUGUGAUCUACAUUUUCUUAACAAAGGAAUGACAUUCAUCAAACUACAAAAUAAAAAAUCUGAUGAGAAAGCUUAUAUUGAAUUCUGGAAGCAUAGCCAUAUUAAAUUCUAAAAACAAAAACAUGCAGAUCCGAACAUUCAGUAAAUCUUAAACAAUCAUUCAAAUUCAUGAAACCGGUCGAGUCACGUAGAUUCACGCAGAUUAUUUCCAUCUCAUUUUUCUUCAGAGAGAGAGAGAGAGAGAGUAAAAACGGGAGAAGAAAUGAAAAAAAACAUGAACAACAGCUCACAAUCCAUCAAAAUUUUCAUAUUUAUAGCUCACUAAUCAAAUCGAACAAAAACGAGAAAAAACUAACUAUCAAAUCUAGCUAUCUAAUACAUCACAGAUCAGGUGAAGAACAAAAACCAGAUGAAUUAGUACAUACAGUACCAAAUUAACACGUACUAGACUUCGUAAGCGCAAACAAUCAGAUAAUGAUCGAAUUCAAAAGAGUUGAGAUUCAUAAUAAAAUCAGAUUUAUAGAUUGAUACAAACAGAAGCUAGGGAUUACAAUCGAAAAGAAGGUAGAGAAAUUACUGAGGAUGAGGUGCGCGAUGGGAGCGUUAGAAUGCAGAGAUCUCUAAAUGUAGCUGUCGUUCCAAAAAACCGCUCUGUCUAUCAGAUGCGGAGGAGGAGAGUAAAUGAAAAUUGGAGAGGUCAAUUUAUAGUAGCAGGC